UAAUAGUUAACUCAUACGCAGUUGAAACGUUUGCCUACGUUUGCCGCUAGGGGCGCUGUCCAACUGCAUACAAAUUUGAGUUA
This 83-nucleotide microRNA precursor is filed under the name Bombyx mori (domestic silkworm). Its description in RNAcentral is "mir-2807 microRNA precursor family". It matches the Rfam family "mir-2807 microRNA precursor family". Lineage: Eukaryota; Metazoa; Arthropoda; Insecta; Lepidoptera; Bombycidae. The record is from Rfam by way of RNAcentral.